This is a long non-coding RNA of Pezoporus occidentalis (night parrot), 4638 nucleotides long. RefSeq lists it as uncharacterized. Lineage: Eukaryota; Metazoa; Chordata; Aves; Psittaciformes; Psittacidae. The transcript is spliced from 3 exons. The record is from RefSeq and is a predicted model, not a curated record.
UGCUAGUUGUCUUUUGCAGUGGGUGCUUGUACUUUGGGCAAGUUCUCUGGGCAGGUGGUUGAGUAGGCUUUGCAGAAAGGUUAAUAAGAAGCUGUGCUCAGUUGCUGUGGGUGGAAUGCUAUGGCCUCUUAACCAAUGGUUCUGGAGCAUUCUUUGCAGCAUGGGCAGCACCCUCUACUGAUCUUGUGCGCCUGGUUCUUAGCUGGUGCAGGUCAGUUAAGACCAGGAUAAUCAGUUGCUUCAUGCUGACAGUCUGCAGAUGCAGCUUUGCAGAUCCGACUCAUAGCUUCUGGUCACAUCCUAGAAAUGGUUUCUGUCUGAAGUAUCUGUUGCAUGGUGUUGGCUUCUACCAGCUAUGACACACAGUGAUGUUCCAUUUGAGAUGUAGUUAGUUUCAGUUUAAAGCAGACUUGAUCAUAAUUGUAGGGUGCUAGCAGAGGGGAUAAUCUCUUGUUUUUUCCUACCCAAAGACAUAGUGAUGAACAGGACACACCUGUUCCUCCCAGUAGGGAGCACAGAAGUAAAUCCACCAAAGAAAAAUCUGUAGGCUCAGUGAACUGAUAAUGCCAGCAAAGCUGUAUGAUGGUAGAUUCUGGAUAAAUGUGGUGGGAGUGUGCAGGGAGUGAAAGUGUUUUUGUCAGUAGUAGCCCACAGCUAGAUUAGAUUAAGUACUAUGAAGCGGUACCAUCAUCUUCAGAUGGGAGAGACAUCUACAAACACUGAGGCCGCCAGUAACUCCUGGGCCUGUGUCAUGCUUCUGACUCCACACACAUUGCUGUUUCUAACUCAGAUCCUUGACUAAGAAUUCCACCAACUAAUAGAAAUGAGCGCUCAUUUCAUGAGUGUUUCUUUAGGAAAGGAAGAAGUCUGACUUGAGUUUCCUGAGUCUUUGAAUUUAUUGCUGCUGAUGAUGGAAGUAGCAAGUACAUAUUCAAAAUGCGACUUGGUGUUAAGAUACAAUCUGCUCCAAGCUUCAAAGAGACUCCUGGCAUCUGGGAAGGAAACGAUAAGUGUUGGGUGAUUCCCCUCACUUCAUACUGCACAGUCUCUCUUUAAAGUCCUCCGUGAAUGCUGUGACUUGGCAGGUAGAAGGUCUAGUGCAGGUCUAUCAGCCUUAGCUUUACAAACCUUCAUCACCCUCCAGGAGCCUGGAACAGGGAGCUUUACUGCAGCUCAGCAGCCUUCAUCAGGGGCUCCUCUUUGUCCAGCACAACUGGGAGUUUCUCAGCUGACAGCUUUGCUCAGGACAGCAUUGCAAGCAGAUGAAAGUUCAGCGGUUUCAACCACAGUUUGAAAUCCUGGUGGUUGUUGUGUGUAUGAGAAGAAUUGCCUGAGCUCAUUUUCAUCAGUGGGAUCCUAAAAAUUGCCAUUAGAGGCCAGGGCCUCACUCAGCUGGGAAUGCGUUAUAUGAAAGCAUGCUCUUUGCUCUUGAGGCUGUACAGCUCAGGCUUGUAGCGAGGCAAUGACUAAAGAUAAAGGGAAGCAAUUUGAAGGGGCUGCAGGAGCCAUAGUAAUGUGCAGAAUGCUUAUUUCCCCUUGCUACAUGUGCUGGUGGCUGCCCCAGCCCAUGUAACUGUGGUGUGACACUUAGGUCAGCUUUUUAAACAGGGUGCAUUUUGCUCUGUGGGGUCACUUGUAUGAGGCAUUACCACAAGGUUUUCAUUCUUUCCUGCUAAGACAUUCAUUGCUUUUUCGGUUGAGAUGCUCACUGAAACAUCUCAAUUUCCACCCAAGUCAAACAGCUCAGUUGGUUUGUCACUAGCCAGAUGUACCACAGAGUGAAAAGCUGAUUUAUAACUCACUUAGUAAAUGGGUGCAUUUCAGUUAUGCAAGUUCUGAACAUUGAUGUUUGAAAAGAGGAGGUAUCACUGAAGAGCAAUUAAUGUAGUAAUCUGGAACAAAGCUGUCCUUUCAGUUGAGGGCUGCUACAGGGUCGUAAUAAAGGUCACAGCAGCUCUGGGCUUCCAGUGAAAGCAGCAAAUGGAAAUGGCAGGGAGAGAUGGAACAGAAGUAGUUGACCUACCAAUUACUCUUUCAAACUGUACCAGCUAUUUUCUUCUCAAAGGAAUUACUCUGAAAGAGCCCCUGAGUGCUGUUGCUGAAGAUUGAUUCCUUGGCAUUCAGUAACACCACUGAACUGUGAAGAUGUGGAACAGAAAACCCAGAAGUAAAAAAAAAAAAAAAGGCAGUUUGAAAACAGUGUUCUUUAAAGCCUGUGAAAUCCUCUUUGUACACUUAAAUUUCAGCUUAAGUCUUACAGAGUUGUUGUAGCCAUUUUUCAGUUUGAAGACGAUCAUCUUACUGCACAGAGGUGUCAGUCUGUCUCCAGACCUAGAAUUUGUGAGGGGCUUUGGCACUGACCAGCUUUCCUAGGAUGUCACUUCCUUACCUAGUGAGGACCAGCACCAAGGUAUCUCCACAGCUUCCUUAGAGCUGUUCCAGUUGAAUCCAUCAAGGAUAUGGCCCCAGCACUCAGGUGAUGCUGCUUUCAAUUCUGUAAAAUUAUGCAUAAAAACUCCUUGAUGUUUUUCAGAGGAAAAAGAAAAAAAGUCUUCAAUAUCUUGGCUUAGCAACCGAAAAAAAAAAGGGGUUCACCUGAUCAUUGUCAAGUUCCUCCUGUUAUGGUGUCAGGGAAAUCCAAUAAAUGUUAAACUAUGUUUUCUGGAUCUCAGUUUUUCCACUUGCAUGUGCUUCAGAGUUGGUGCUUACUAAACAGCUAAAACUCUUUAGUAACAUAUCCCAGAAAAAAAGCUGUGUUUCUGUGAAUGGAAUGCCAUUACCUUUCAGUGAUGGCCAUGUAAUUCCAUCAUGACAGGGCAGAUCUGGGGUGAAACCAGAUCAGUAAGGCAAGGCUGGGAACAGCAAGGUCUGUGGCUGUGCAUGGGUUUGCCCAUGUGGUUACUCAAGGUUUACUAGGGCCACGGCCCAAGUGCCAGGUUGGGGAGGCCCCAGGCUGGGCUUCUCCCCGCUCUCUCACUCUGCUCCUUCCACAUCACUCAGCUCCAAGGUUACUCAGCCGCACGUUAUUGGAGCCAACAUCGGCCACAGGCAGCCACACAGUUGCAAGGAGGAGGAAGAGGUGGCUGAGCCUGUUCCUGCUCCCAGGACCCUGACGAUCUCUGAGGCUGGAGCUGGAAAGUGCUAUUUUCCCACUGCUAAUCUUACCUCAUUACCGUGGUGACAAACACAUUUCCUGCAUAGUAUUUUCUUUCUCAAGUGGGGAAGAGAUGAUGCAAAUCUGGUCUGAGCCUAGGGACACAGGCACUUCAGCCAGACAAUGGACAUAAGGGAACCAGAGGAGCUGGUGGUCCCAGGCUGGAUGUGCUGUGGGGAUCAGGGUGGUUAUGGUUGGUAGGAAAGGAUGCUCAGUGGAGAAAUGAGAUGCAGGAGCACAGCUGCGAUGACAGGAAAAUACUGCUCUGUGGGGGAAAAGUCAUAGGAUUUUAAAAAAUCUCUUUUAGAUUCCUAUUUAUCACCUGACAUUUAAUCCAGGAGUUAGCAUUCUCCAUUGCAGAAAGCGCAAUUUUAAGGAAAAAGUCACUGACUAUCAUAGACUUCUAACAAAAUCCAGAGAACCGGUUUAAAUGAAUGGUAUCAGCCAAGCCCCACGAGGUCAGAUCAGUGAGGUAACCGCAUCCACUCAGGCUGCUGUCAGGAACACACCACCUCCAGAACAGCGAAGUCCCUGCUGCAGCGGAGCAGUACAGAAAAAGGGAAGGGAAACCUUUCUUGUAAGGGGAGCAGGCUGGAUCCUACCCAAUGGAGGUCACCCAAGAGCACCACCUUCACCUUGCAGCCAAAUGGAGGAGCCAAAGUUUUUAGCAAGUAGCACAACUUGCUGGAAUCAAGACUUCCAGAGCUGAAAAAAACACCAUAAAAAGUAGUAACACGUAGGCAGAACUACUGUGUGCUCCUCAUGUUGAUUAAAAUAAAGGGGAUGGGAGGUGGUGGGUCUUCCUAGCCAGCUCCUGCUCAAUCCUGAUGCCAAAAGACAGGAGCAACGCACUUGACUUUGGCAAAACAAAUGCCAUAGGAAGCAAGAGGUGCUCACGGAGCCUCUGGGGCUGGUGAACCACUAACCAGUCCUGGUGAACCUCCUCACUUCUAUAGACCGGGAGAUGCCUUUCCAUGCUUUGCAUGGCCAUGUCGGGGUGCUCAUCUGCUCAGGACAGGUCCCUUGGGGAGGGUGGGCUGGGAGGGAGGCAGCAGGGAAACCAAGCUUAGCACCAUGGAUAUGGCUGGUCCAGGUCAAUGAGCGGGAAGCCAGGAGGUGAAGGUGACCAUAGUACACGGGUGCUGGAGGAAUGUGAGACCUGUGAGGCCUUCCUGCUUGGUAACACCGACAGCCUUAUCCCAGGCAAGGGGGUGGUUUUAUCUGAAUCAUAGAGGAAAACUGAGCAUUUCUGGUGGGAGGAGAAGUGGGAGAACAGAGUCUUUCAUGACACUGUUGCUACCUUUGUUUCUGUUUUUUUCCUGCGCCAGGGGGUGGAACCGAAGACAGAAAGCAGCAAUGGUAUCGCUAAUACCAGAAAACCUGUUCUGCAGGAAAACCUGCACAUGUGUGCGGGAUGGGGAAGGAGCGGCUGACUCAUGACCCAACCUGCCCUGCACAUAGCAGGGUGGUGGGGGAUGUCAGGC